This 1023-nucleotide ribosomal RNA is filed under the name Pseudoconlarium punctiforme. RNAcentral's name for it is "SSU rRNA". It matches the Rfam family "Eukaryotic small subunit ribosomal RNA", at positions 78 to 1109 of the family's 1831-position model. The record is from RNAcentral. Lineage: Eukaryota; Fungi; Ascomycota; Sordariomycetes. RNAcentral also lists the same sequence under 1 other name.
ACCGCGAAACUGCGAAUGGCUCAUUAAAUCAGUUAUAGUUUAUUUGAUAGUACCUUACUACUUGGAUAACCGUGGUAAUUCUAGAGCUAAUACAUGCUAAAAAUCCCGACUUCGGAAGGGAUGUAUUUAUUAGAUUAAAAACCAAUGCCCUCUGGGCUCACUGGUGAUUCAUAAUAACUUGUCGAAUCGCAUGGCCUUGCGCCGGCGAUGGUUCAUUCAAAUUUCUGCCCUAUCAACUUUCGACGGCUGGGUCUUGGCCAGCCAUGGUGACAACGGGUAACGGAGGGUUAGGGCUCGACCCCGGAGAAGGAGCCUGAGAGACGGCUACUACAUCCAAGGAAGGCAGCAGGCGCGCAAAUUACCCAAUGCCAACAGCCGGCGAGGUAGUGACAAUACAUACUGAUACAGGGCUCUUUUGGGUCUUGUAAUUGGAAUGAGUACAAUUUAAAUCUCUUAACGAGGAACAAUUGGAGGGCAAGUCUGGUGCCAGCAGCCGCGGUAAUUCCAGCUCCAACAGCGUAUAUUAAAGUUGUUGCGGUUAAAACGCUCGUAGUUGAACCUUGGGCCUGGCCGGCCGGUCCGCCUCACCGCGAGCACUGGUUCGGCCGGGCCUUUCCCUCUGGGGAACCGCAUGCCCUUCACUGGGCGUGUCGGGGAACCAGGACUUUUACUUUGAAAAAAUUAGAGUGUUCAAAGCAGGCCUAUGCUCGGAUACAUUAGCAUGGAAUAAUAGAAUAGGACGCGCAGUUCUAUUUUGUUGGUUUCUAGGACCGCCGUAAUGAUUAAUAGGGACAGUCGGGGGCAUCGGUAUUCAAUUGUCAGAGGUGAAAUUCUUGGAUUUAUUGAAGACCAACUACUGCGAAAGCAUUUGCCAAGGAUGUUUUCAUUAAUCAGGAACGAAAGUUAGGGGAUCGAAGACGAUCAGAUACCGUCGUAGUCUUAACCAUAAACUAUGCGAACUAGGGAUCGGGCGAUGUUAUUUUUUGACUCGCUCGGCACCUUACACGAAAGUACAAGUUUCUG